AGGGAAGAAAAUGACAGUUACUCCUGAGUUCUACCCUCCUGAGCUCAGAUCAAACCGACUCGGAGAAAAGCACAAAGCAAGAAGGCAUUGCAGGAAACUCCCAACCCCUCUGACAGCUGAGCCCUGCCCCUGUACCUGCUAUGGCCUUCUCUCCAGCAGUGAGGGCUUUGUCUGACUGCAGGAUGGAUUCCUCUACAACCACCUGUGACUGCAGGAAGUUCUGGAGGACCUCGUUUGCCUGAGGAACCAAGAAAGAGCAAAGACCUGUCAGGCAGCAAAGAUCUCAUCUUAUGAUGGCGAAAUUAUUGUUCAAUAAAGUCACAAAUCUAACCCUGUAA
Long non-coding RNA from Symphalangus syndactylus (siamang), 338 nucleotides. RefSeq lists it as uncharacterized. Lineage: Eukaryota; Metazoa; Chordata; Mammalia; Primates; Hylobatidae. The record is from RefSeq and is a predicted model, not a curated record.